Molecule: non-coding RNA, 157 nt
Filed under: Vibrio rotiferianus
Lineage: Bacteria; Pseudomonadati; Pseudomonadota; Gammaproteobacteria; Vibrionales; Vibrionaceae
Description: VqmR
Rfam family: Vibrio RNA VqmR
About the family: In fact, VqmR which is highly conserved in vibrionaceae, was shown to strongly inhibit biofilm formation through the repression of vpsT gene and could be the link between biofilm formation and quorum sensing.
Source: RNAcentral
UCGAGCUUCGGAGGCAUACGACCCGGAGCUCAUCGGUAUCUUAUUGAUACCUCUAAUUUACUUAGCAGACCCUCGCUAUGUAAUUUAGAACCUCUUCUACACGUCGACAAGAUUUAUCUUGUGUUGCCAGCCCGUCUUCAGGCUGGCUUUUUUUUUG